ACUGACAUCAAUUUGCCCUAUCUUACAAUGGAUUCUUCUGGACCCAAGCAUUUGAAUAUGAAGUUGACCCGUGCUCAAUUUGAAGGGAUUGUCACUGAUCUAAUCAGAAGGACUAUCGCUCCAUGCCAAAAAGCUAUGCAAGAUGCAGAAGUCAGCAAGAGUGACAUAGGAGAAGUGAUUCUUGUGGGUGGCAUGACUAGGAUGCCCAAGGUUCAGCAGACUGUACAGGAUCUUUUUGGCAGAGCCCCAAGUAAAGCUGUCAAUCCUGAUGAGGCUGUGGCCAUUGGAGCUGCCAUUCAGGGAGGUGUGUUGGCCGGCGAUGUCACGGAUGUGCUGCUCCUUGAUGUCACUCCCCUGUCUCUGGGUAUUGAAACUCUAGGAGGUGUCUUUACCAAACUUAUUAAUAGGAAUACCACUAUUCCAACCAAGAAGAGCCAGGUAAGAGCCAUCACUUCCUACCUUGUCACAUGGGUUUUAGGUUCUAUGACGGAUGUAAUUGCAGCCACUUUCAUGAGUUUUUUCUAGAAAACUUCAUUUUUUUCUGUUUUACAGUUUAGAAUAUUAAACAGAUAACUGUGGGUG
Molecule: small RNA, 582 nt
Filed under: Pan troglodytes (chimpanzee)
Lineage: Eukaryota; Metazoa; Chordata; Mammalia; Primates; Hominidae
Description: retained intron
Source: RNAcentral